RNAcentral lists this long non-coding RNA (4594 nucleotides) under Gossypium barbadense (sea-island cotton). RNAcentral's name for it is "long non-coding RNA (GBAR_LNC003749)". The record is from RNAcentral. Lineage: Eukaryota; Viridiplantae; Streptophyta; Magnoliopsida; Malvales; Malvaceae.
UCAAGAUAGUUGGACAUCACUAGCCUUUGUCCUUUCAUAUCCACCGCCCUGCUUUUAUGAUAGCAUUUCCCAAUGAAAUCUUUUAUCUACCAAUAUCCUCUUAAAAUCUUCUUGAAUUUUCUUCGUCUGACUCUCUUGAUCUCAGUCUCUCCCUCUUCUGAUGAGUAUACCUUAGAUGCAGUCCCAACAGUCGUCCUUCUUCUUCUCACAACAUUUCUUUAUCAAAAAAUGGGCAUUCUUGAAUCUCCUGUGUCUGGUUCUCUUGACCUCCGUGGCUCCCUCUCCUGAUGAAUAUGCAUUGGAUGCAGCCCCAACAGGUAAUGCCCUUCUCAUCUUCUCAGUGCUUCUUUAGCAACAAAAUGGGUAGUCUCAUUUUCUGUUUCAGGAAUGAAAUGAAACCCGAUAUUCUGAAAAAAAAAAACUUUUUUGCUAUGGGAUAUCUCUGAUUAUCGCCCUUAUAAUCGAUUUAUCUUGGUUUAUGGUUUGACAUUUCUUAAUCACUAUUCUUGAGUCUCUUUUUAUAUUCAGAAUAUUCAAUCCCAUUGUAAUACUUGACUUAAAGGCCACAAUCUCCCCCUCCGUAUUGCAAACAACUAAACCCAAAGCAGAUUUGGAGGUUCUCUUAUCAAAAGCCGCAUCAAAAUAAACUAUCACCCUCGUGCUUCUUUCCAUCUGCUUAUGACCUCUGUCAAUGUUGGUAAAAAGUCUUUUUUCCUCUACUCCAUUUAACUCUGCUGUAGAACUGAUGACUUGUUUAGAAAUAUCCCUACCUGUUGUAAUCUUCUCUUAUAGAUGAAUCUAUUUCUAUGGUUCCAGAUUAACCAUAGCCCACCGCAAAAAAGGCGACACUGGUCUCUGUUUCCCUGCCUAAAAACCCAAAUAAGCCACUCCCAUAAGCUUUGAAUGUUAUUAUUGUAUACCCAUGCAAAAUCUAAAUUUGAGCAUACUUCUGUUGUUGUAGGACAGUACCUAAAAAUGUGGUUACUAUCUUCAUCGGAAGUGUGACAUCGGGGACAAAGAGUUUCAGCUGCAGCUUUUUUAAUCUUUAGUUUAGAUAGAGUAGGAAUAUAAUUCCAAGAAAUUCUCCAAAUUUUAAUUUUAAUUUUUGGAGGGAUUUGUAAAUUCCAUAAUUUUCUAUAGAAGUUUCUAAUCUCGGUCUAUAUAAAACUAUUAUUAGGACCCGAAUUAGUCUUAUAGGCACUUCUGACUGAAUACUCGCCUGACGGUUCUCCUCUCCAUACUUUGGAAGUCCUCGUAGAUUAUCUCUGCCAAGGGGAUCUGCAGAAUUUUCUUAGCAGUAUCCUCAUUGAAGGUACUUAAAACUAAAUCUGUAUUCCACUUUCUAUUAUUAGCAUCUAUCAAAUCUAAUUCUAACUUAAUAUUCUCAUUGGUGGUUUCAUUAUGCAAUCUAUCAUUUUCAGCUUCCGAAAUCCAUAAAUCAUCCCAAACAGAGAUGCGAUCCCCUGUUCCUAUCCUCCAGCAUAAUCCUUUCUCCAAAAUCUCUUUAGCUACCCAAACACUCUUCCAAGUAAGCGAAGGUAAAUUCCCCAAUUCAGCAUUGAUAAAAUUCGAAUUUGGAUAAUAUUUUGCUUUUAAAACACUACUUAGUAAAGAAUUAGGAAAAUUGACAAGACACCAACCUUGUUUUGUUAAUAACGCUAUAUUAAAUUUAUCGAGAUUACGAAAGCCUAAACCACCAUCUUCUUUCAAAGAGCAUAAAUAUUUCCACGUGCACCAGUGAAUACCUUUUUUUAUCUCGAUUUUUAUGCCACUAAUACCUUGCCAAAAUACCUUCUAGUUCAGCACAUAAAGACUUAGGGAUUAGGAAACAUGCCAUCGUAUAGGUUGGAAUAGCUUGAAUAAUAGCUUUUAUAAACACCUCUUUCCCCCCUUGAGAUAGAUGUUUUACACUCCAGUUAUCAAUCUGUUGUUUCAUUCUAUCCUUCAAGAUUUGAAAUGAGAUUUUCUUCUUUCUUCCUACUAUAUUUGGCAGACCAAGAUGCCUUUCCAGGUUAUUAGAACUACGCACUUCAAGAACCUUAGAUAUAAUUGUUUUAUCCCCUUCCUGUGUAUUAGUACUAAAGAAUACUGUAGAUUUGUAAUAGUUGACACAUUGUCCAAAACAAUUCUCGUAUUCAAUCAAAAUCUGUUUAAAUGAAUGAGCUCCUCUCUGUAGCUUCCCCAAAUAAAAUACAACCAUCUGCAAAUAACAAGUGGGAAAUCUGUGGCCGACUUCUACUUGCCUUAACCCCUCUAAGUAUGUUCCCUUGCAUAGCAAGUCUCAUAAAACUGGAAAGACCUUCCUCACAAAUUAAAAAUAGGAACGGACUCAAAGGGUCGGACUCAAAGGGUCACCCUGUCUUAGUCCUUUUGUGGGUUGAAAAUUCUCUUCAAUAUGACCAUUGAAAACCACCGAAUACGAAACUAUGGAAACACAUUUCAUUAGAGACUCAACUUACCCUGAAUCAAAACCCAUGCGCUUUAUAAUUUCUGUGAUAAAAUUUCAUUCAACUCUAUCAUAAGCUUUACUCAUAUCCAACUUUACUGCCAUGUAGUCUUUUUUCCCUCUUCUUCUUCUGUUUUAAAGUAUGUAGGAUUUCAUAAGCCAAUAACACAUUAUCAGAAAUUAACCUCCCCGGUACGAAAGCGCUUUGAGCUAGGUCAAUACAUUUAUCAACGACUACACGAAGAUAAUUUGCAAUGACCUUAGACAUCAACUUAUAAAUCACAUUACAUAGGCUUAUGAACCGAAAAUAAGUAAUAUUUGAAGGAUUUUGAAUUUUUGGGAUCAACACUAUAUUUGUUUUAUUAAUUAAACUAAUGUCUAUACCUCCAUUUAGAUGUUGUAUAGAAAAUGAAGACACAUCCUCCCCAACAAUUAACUAGCACUUCUGAUAAAAUAAAGCCGAGAACCCAUCUUCUCCUGGUGCUUUUAUUGGGCCCAAUUCUGAUAAAGCCACUCGAAUUUCCUCAUUUGUGUAUCUCACUGUCAAUCUAGAAUUAUCCUCCUCAAAAAUACAACAAUCAAUUCCUGUCAACAGAUGUUCAUAAUUUCCCCUCAUCCCAGCUAAAAACAAAUUCUGGAAAUAAGAUUUAGCAGUUCCUUCCAUUUUACGAAUCUCUUAUGUUUCUCUACCAUCUUCAAAUUGCAUUUUCCGAAUGAGGUUCCUUCUUAGUCGUUGAGUCGCAUGUUUAUGAAAAAAAGGCAGUAUUCUUGUCUCCAAAUUGCAACAAAGUAACUCGAGCCCUCUACUCCUAAUAUCUUUCAUCCUUGUCAAUCUCAAAAUUAAGUUGGAUCUUCAAAUCAAUAAGUUCUGCCAAGUUUUCAUCACCCAUGUCAGGUUCCAUCAAUUCGACCAAUCUAUCAGUUAACCUCUCCUUUUUUAUCUUUCUACUGUGUUGAAUUUGAUUCGCCCAUCUAUCCAAACCUUUUCUUAUUUUUUCCAAUUUUUCUAUCAAGUCUCCAGUUGAAUUGUCCCAUAUAUAUCGUACCUCCUCAAUAAAUGAUUUCUCUAAUAGCCACCAAGCUUCGAAUUUGAAACUUCUUUUAGGCCGCUCAUUAUCUUUUCUUUUUGUCGUGAUAAGAAGUGGGUAAUGAUCUGAAAAAGAAUGUGGAAGAUGUUGAAUUAUUACCUCAGGAAAUAUAGACAACCAAUCUGAGUUAAACAUUUGUAAAAUUUUCAAAUAAUAACCCAUUAAAAAUUACCCCAAACAACAACAAUAAUUUUAUUUGAGCCUUUUGCAUCUUAAGUGUAAGAGAAAUUUAGUUUUUUUUUUCAUUAAGCAUUUUGUAUUUUUUUUAUAAACUUAAAAUAAUAUUUCAAAUAAUAGUCAAGUAAUAUAGUAAACGACGAGUAUUGAUUUUUUAAUAUUUUAAUGUUGUUGAGGGGAGAUUAGACUCUUUAUUGGAAGAAGUUUUCAUAGUGUUGUCUAUUUAUGACCAAUGAAUCUCUUAAUGAAAGUUAUUAUUCUUGUGUCGAAAUUUUAUUCCUGACCUCUACAAAGAGGAGGGAGUUUUAAUUGGUGGGGUAAAUAUGGGAAAAGUGUUAAUGUUAUAUACAAUAUUAAUUAUAAAAAAUACAGAUGUAGGGAUUAGAACCACCAAUCAAGACAUAUACUAUAGUUGCAAGGGAAAUGCUACAUAUACCUUUUACCACACUUCAAUUCAACCUUGUCAACUUCCCUUGCAUUACUUAUUCUAAGAGGGAUAACGGCAAGAUUUACCCUAAUACUUUAACAAAAUUGUCAAUGUGGUAUAUGUAUUUUCAAUUUGUCCAAUUUGCUAACUUUACUUUUGUUCCAUCCAGUUUUCUGAUAUCUGGCCUAAUGAUUUUAAAUUCUAGUUAACACAUGGACAACUAAAAAAAUGCCAUAUGGCACUUGGACCAGAUGAAAAAACUAAAUGGUAAGAAAAUAAGGACUUGUAUAAAUUUUUUCCUUUUUCUUUUUAGAGGUAAAAUUUAUUAAAUAAAAUAAUUAUUAUUUUCUCCCAAUUUAUAACAUCUUCGUCUCUACAACGUAGUAAAAAUUCCAAAAAACAAAAACAAGAGAAACUAAAAUAAAAUUUAUUAACUAAAAUUAAUUGAUAUUCUUC